Molecule: ribosomal RNA, 442 nt
Filed under: uncultured bacterium
Lineage: Bacteria
Description: partial 16S ribosomal RNA
Rfam family: Bacterial small subunit ribosomal RNA
Source: RNAcentral
CUACGGGAGGCAGCAGUGGGGGAUAUUGCACAAUGGAGGAAACUCUGAUGCAGCAACGCCGCGUGAGGGAAGAAGGUCUUCGGAUUGUAAACCUCUGUUUUUGGUGACGAAACAAAUGACGGUAGCCAAAGAGGAAGCCACGGCUAACUACGUGCCAGCAGCCGCGGUAAUACGUAGGUGGCAAGCGUUGUCCGGAUUUACUGGGUGUAAAGGGUGCGCAGGCGGGACUGCAAGUUGGAUGUGAAAUACCGAAGCUUAACUUCGGGGCUGCAUCCAAAACUGUGGUUCUUGAGUGGAGUAGAGGUAAGCGGAAUUCCGAGUGUAGCGGUGAAAUGCGUAGAUAUUCGGAGGAACACCAGUGGCGAAGGCGGCUUACUGGGCUCUAACUGACGCUGAGGCACGAAAGCAUGGGUAGCAAACAGGAUUAGAUACCCUCGUAGUC